GUCCAGACUGACAACGUCACAACCAACUUGGUGGACCGCAUAUUCAAAGGCUCUCUGAAAUCUCAAGUGGUUUGUCAGAACUGUCAUUAUACUUCUGACAGAUAUGAGGAAUUCAUCGACAUCCCUCUGGAGAUCAAUUCCUCAGAUAACAUCACAAAAUCAUUGAAAGAUUUAGUGAGAGCGGAAACACUGGAAGGAGA
This is a long non-coding RNA of Nanorana parkeri, 200 nucleotides long. RefSeq lists it as uncharacterized. NCBI's taxonomy places the organism in Eukaryota, Metazoa, Chordata, Amphibia, Anura, Dicroglossidae. The transcript is spliced from 3 exons. The record is from RefSeq and is a predicted model, not a curated record.